This 599-nucleotide ribosomal RNA is filed under the name Dilophotes sp. AS LB-2014. RNAcentral's name for it is "partial 16S ribosomal RNA". It matches the Rfam family "Bacterial large subunit ribosomal RNA", at positions 1816 to 2714 of the family's 2925-position model. Lineage: Eukaryota; Metazoa; Arthropoda; Insecta; Coleoptera; Lycidae. The record is from RNAcentral.
CAUGUCUUUUUGUUAAUGAUUUAAAGUCUGGCCUGCUCGAUGAGUUUUAAAUUGCCGCAGUAUUUUGACUGUGCAAAGGUAGCAUAAUAAUUAGUUUCUUAAUUAGGAGCUUGAAUGAAUGGUUUAACAAGAAAAUUUCUGUCUCUAUUUUAUUUUUUAUUGAAUUUUAUUUUUAAGUUAAAAAGCUUAAAUUUUUUUAAAAGACGAGAAGACCCUAUAGAGUUUUAUUUUUUGAUUUAUUUACUACUUAGGAAUUUAAUUGGAUUAAAUUAUUUGGUUGGGGUGACUCAUGGAUUUAUUAAAUUCUUUGACAAUAAGAUUGUUGAUUUUUAAAUUUAUUUUCUGUUUUCAAGUUUAAAUUAAAUUACCUUAGGGAUAACAGCGUAAUUUUUCUUUAAAGUUCUUAUUAAAAGGAGAGUUUGCGACCUCGAUGUUGGAUUAAAAUAAAUUUUUGGUGCAGUAACUUAGGGAUUAGGUCUGUUCGACCUUUAAAAUUUUACAUGAUCUGAGUUUAGACCGGCGUGAGCCAGGUUAGAUUCUAUCUUUAGGAUUUUAUAAUAUUUUAGUACGAAAGGACCAAAUAUUGAUUAAAGUAAUUG